This 379-nucleotide ribosomal RNA is filed under the name uncultured bacterium. RNAcentral's name for it is "bacterial SSU rRNA". It matches the Rfam family "Bacterial small subunit ribosomal RNA", at positions 521 to 896 of the family's 1533-position model. The record is from RNAcentral.
UAACACGUAGGGGGCGAGCGUUGUCCGGAUUUAUUGGGCGUAAAGAGCUCGUAGGCGGCUCAGUAAGUCAGGUGUGAAAACUCCAGGCUCAACCUGGAGACGCCACUUGAUACUGCUGUGGCUAGAGUCCGGUAGGGGAGCAUGGAAUUCCUGGUGUAGCGGUGAAAUGCGCAGAUAUCAGGAGGAACACCAGUGGCGAAGGCGGUGCUCUGGGCCGGAACUGACGCUGAGGAGCGAAAGCGUGGGGAGCAAACAGGAUUAGAUACCCUGGUAGUCCACGCCGUAAACGUUGGGUACUAGGUGUGGGGCCUUAUCAACGGGCUCUGUGCCGAAGCUAACGCAUUAAGUACCCCGCCUGGGGAGUACGGCCGCAAGGCUA